UGGGGAAUAUUGGACAAUGGGGGGAACCCUGAUCCAGCCAUGCCGCGUGUGUGAAGAAGGCCUUAUGGUUGUAAAGCACUUUAAGCGAGGAGGAGGGUACUGGUAUUAAUACUACCAGGUACUGGACGUUACUCGCAGAAUAAGCACCGGCUAACUCUGUGCCAGCAGCCGCGGUAAUACAGAGGGUGCGAGCGUUAAUCGGAUUUACUGGGCGUAAAGCGUGCGUAGGCGGCUAAUUGAGUCGGAUGUGAAAUCCCCGAGCUUAACUUGGGAAUUGCAUUCGAUACUGGUUAGCUAGAGUGUGGGAGAGGAUGGUGGAAUUUCCUGUGUAGCGGUGAAAUGCGUAGAUAUAGGAAGGAACACCAGUGGCGAAGGCGACCACCUGGGCUCAUACUGACACUGAGGUGCGAAAGCGUGGGGAGCAAACAGG
Molecule: ribosomal RNA, 430 nt
Filed under: Pseudomonadota bacterium
Lineage: Bacteria; Pseudomonadati; Pseudomonadota
Description: Proteobacteria bacterium partial 16S ribosomal RNA
Rfam family: Bacterial small subunit ribosomal RNA
Source: RNAcentral